RNAcentral lists this ribosomal RNA (450 nucleotides) under uncultured bacterium. RNAcentral describes it as "bacterial SSU rRNA". It matches the Rfam family "Bacterial small subunit ribosomal RNA", at positions 330 to 794 of the family's 1533-position model. The record is from RNAcentral.
UCCAGACUCCUACGGGAGGCAGCAGUGGGGAAUAUUGGACAAUGGGGGGAACCCUGAUCCAGCGACGCCGCGUGAGUGAAGAAGUAUUUCGGUAUGUAAAGCUCUAUCAGCAGGGAAGAAAGAAAUGACGGUACCUGACUAAGAAGCCCCGGCUAACUACGUGCCAGCAGUCGCGGCAAUACGUAGGGGGCAAGCGUUAUCCGGAUUUACUGGGUGUAAAGGGAGCGUAGACGGCGAUGCAAGCCAGAUGUGAAAGCCCGGGGCUCAACCCCGGGACUGCAUUUGGAACUGUGUGGCUGGAGUGUCGGAGAGGCAGGCGGAAUUCCUAGUGUAGCGGUGAAAUGCGUAGAUAUUAGGAGGAACACCAGUGGCGAAGGCGGCCUGCUGGACGAUGACUGACGUUGAGGCUCGAAAGCGUGGGGAGCAAACAGGAUUAGAUACCCCUGUAAC